GACGAACGCUGGCGGCGUGCUUAAUACAUGCAAGUCGAACGGGAAGGCCCUUCUGUUGUGGGGUGCGCGAGGGGCGAACGGGUGAGUUACACGUGAGUAACCUUUCCUUGACUGUGGGAUAACUUCAGGUAACUCGGGCUCAUACCGUGUAGGAGCUCCUGCUGCUUUUUUUGGGUUGGACGGUGUCGGCGGUUGGGGAUGGACUCGCGGCUUUUAUGGGUGUUGGUGGGGUAGUGGCUGGCCAAGGCCUGUACGGGUGUCCGGCCUGAGAGGGUGAACGGCCACAUUGGGACUGAGAUACGCCCCAGCCUCCUACGGGAGGCAGCAGUGGGGAAUAUUGCACAAUGGGCGGACGCCUGAUGCAGCAACGCCGGGUGCGGGAUGACGGCCUUCGGGUUGUAAACCGCUUUCGCCUGUGACGAAGCGUGAGUGACGGUAAUGGGUAAAGAAGCACCGGCUAACUACGUG
Molecule: ribosomal RNA, 468 nt
Filed under: uncultured bacterium
Lineage: Bacteria
Description: partial 16S ribosomal RNA
Rfam family: Bacterial small subunit ribosomal RNA
Source: RNAcentral